AUUGAACGCUGGCGGCAGGCCUAACACAUGCAAGUCGAGCGGAGCGGCGGACGGGUGAGUAAUACCUAGGAAUCUGCCUGGUACUGGGGGAUAACGUCCGGAAACGGGCGCUAAUGCCACAUACCAUCAGCUAAGCGUUGGGGGGAGUAGCUAGUGGGUGGGGUAAAGGCCGACCACGGCGACGAUCCGUAACUGGUCUGAGAGGAUGAUCAGUCACACUGGAACUGAGACACGGUCCAGACUCCUACGGGAGGCAGCAGUGGGGAAUAUUGGACAAUGGGCGAAAGCCUGAUCCAGCCAUGCCGCGUGUGUGAAGAAGGUCUUCGGAUUGUAAAGCACUUUAAGUUGGGAGGCGUUACCAACAGAAGAAGCACCGGCUAACUUCGUGCCAGCAGCCGCGGUAAUAC
This 407-nucleotide ribosomal RNA is filed under the name uncultured bacterium. RNAcentral describes it as "partial 16S ribosomal RNA". It matches the Rfam family "Bacterial small subunit ribosomal RNA", at positions 30 to 526 of the family's 1533-position model. The record is from RNAcentral.